Molecule: ribosomal RNA, 253 nt
Filed under: uncultured bacterium
Lineage: Bacteria
Description: partial 16S ribosomal RNA
Rfam family: Bacterial small subunit ribosomal RNA
Source: RNAcentral
UACAGAGGUCCCAAGCGUUGUUCGGAUUCAUUGGGCGUAAAGGGUGCGUAGGCGGCGCGGUAAGUCGGGUGUGAAAUCUCGGAGCUUAACUCCGAAACUGCAUUCGAUACUGCCGUGCUUGAGGACUGGAGAGGAGACUGGAAUUUACGGUGUAGCGGUGAAAUGCGCAGAUAUCAGGAAGAACACCCGUGGCGAAGGCGGUUCUCUGGGACGGUACUGACGCUGAGACGCGAAAGCGUGGGGAGCGAACAGG